CGUUAUCNGGAAUUACUUGGGCGUAAAGCGUUCGUAGGCGGUUAUUUAANGUUAGAUGUGAAAGCCCCGGGCUUAACCUGGGAACUGCAUUUAAAACUGGAUAACUCGAGUUUAGGAGAGGGAAGUGGAAUUUCAGGUGUAGCAGUGAAAUGCGUAGAGAUCUGAAGGAACACCAGUGGCGAAGGCGACUUCCUGGACUAAAACUGACGCUGAGGAACGAAAGCGUGGGUAGCAAACGGGAUUAGAUACCCCGGGUAGUCCACGCCGUAAACGAUGUCAACUAGCCGUUGGGCCUAUAUACAGGUUUAGUGGCGGAGCUAACGUAUUAAGUUGACCGCCUGGGGAGUACGGCCGCAAGGUUAAAACUCAAAUGAAUUGACGGGGGCCCGCACAAGCGGUGGAGCAUGUGGUUUAAUUCGAUGCAACGCGAAGAACCUUACCUACCCUUGACAUCCAGAGAAUCUGUUAGAGAUAGUAGAGUGCCUUCGGGAACUCUGAGACAGGUGCUGCAUGGCUGUCGUCAGCUCGUGUCGUGAGAUGUUGGGUUAAGUCCCGUAACGAGCGCAACCCUUAUCCUUAGUUGCCAGCACAUUAUGGUGGGAACUCUAAGGAGACUGCCGGUGAUAA
Molecule: ribosomal RNA, 627 nt
Filed under: uncultured bacterium
Lineage: Bacteria
Description: bacterial SSU rRNA
Rfam family: Bacterial small subunit ribosomal RNA
Source: RNAcentral